This 205-nucleotide microRNA precursor is filed under the name Oryza glumipatula. RNAcentral's name for it is "MIR812 microRNA precursor family". It matches the Rfam family "MIR812 microRNA precursor family". The record is from Rfam by way of RNAcentral. Lineage: Eukaryota; Viridiplantae; Streptophyta; Magnoliopsida; Poales; Poaceae.
AAAGACUCAAUUCCUGGGUUUCCGUGUCCAACGUUUAACUGUUCGUCUUAUAUGAAGUUUUUUUUAUGAUUAGUAUUUUUAUUGUUGUUAGAUGAUAAAACAUGAAUAAUACUUUAUGUGUGAUUUAUCUUUUUUAAUUUUUUUCAUAUUUUUUUAAAAAUAAGACGGACGGUCAAACGUUAGACACGGAAACCCAAGAAUUAAA